GAUGAACGCUGGCGGCGUGCCUAAUACAUGCAAGUCGAGCGAACGGACGAGAAGCUUGCUUCUCUGAUGUUAGCGGCGGACGGGUGAGUAACACUUUGAUAACCUACCUAUAAGACUGGGAUAACUUCGGGAAACCGGAGCUAAUACCGGAUAAUAUUUUUAACCGCAUGGUUCAAAAGUGAAAGACGGUCUUGCUGUCACUUAUAGAUGGAUCCGCGCUGCAUUAGCUAGUUGGUAAGGUAACGGCUUACCAAGGCAACGAUGCAUAGCCGACCUGAGAGGGUGAUCGGCCACACUGGAACUGAGACACGGUCCAGACUCCUACGGGAGGCAGCAGUAGGGAAUCUUCCGCAAUGGGCGAAAGCCUGACGGAGCAACGUCGCGUGAGUGAUGAAGGUCUUCGGAUAGUAAAACUCUGUUAUUAGGGAAGAACAUAUGUGUAAGUAACUGUGCACAUCUUGACGGUACCUAAUCAGAAAGCCACGGCUAACUACGUG
Molecule: ribosomal RNA, 497 nt
Filed under: uncultured bacterium
Lineage: Bacteria
Description: partial 16S ribosomal RNA
Rfam family: Bacterial small subunit ribosomal RNA
Source: RNAcentral